This 77-nucleotide small RNA is filed under the name Xanthomonas arboricola. RNAcentral describes it as "sX9 sRNA". It matches the Rfam family "Xanthomonas sRNA sX9". Lineage: Bacteria; Pseudomonadati; Pseudomonadota; Gammaproteobacteria; Lysobacterales; Lysobacteraceae. RNAcentral also lists the same sequence under 2 other names. The record is from RNAcentral.
AUGCACCACCCGCAGAUGCCGGUUCAGAGCGCGCCUUCCACGCCCUGCUGACGACUGCUCGCUGAGUUUCGUUGGCC